GACGAACGCUGGCGGCGUGCUUAACACAUGCAAGUCGAACGAAAAGAGGGAAAGAGCUUGCUCUUUCCGGAAUUGAGUGGCAAACGGGUGAGUAACACGUAAACAACCUGCCUUCAGGAUGGGGACAACAGACGGAAACGACUGCUAAUACCGAAUAAGUUCCAAGAGCCGCAUGGCCCAUGGAAGAAAAGGUGGCCUCUACCUGUAAGCUAUCGCCUGAAGAGGGGUUUGCGUCUGAUUAGCUGGUUGGAGGGGUAACGGCCCACCAAGGCGACGAUCAGUAGCCGGUCUGAGAGGAUGAACGGCCACACUGGAACUGAGACACGGUCCAGACUCCUACGGGAGGCAGCAGUGGGGAAUCUUCCGCAAUGGGCGAAAGCCUGACGGAGCAACGCCGCGUGAGUGAUGACGGCUUCGGGUUGUAAAACUCUGUGAUCCGGGACGAAAAGGCAGAGUGCGAAGAACAAACUGCAUUGACGGUACCGGAAAAGCAAGCCACGGCUAA
This 505-nucleotide ribosomal RNA is filed under the name Dialister invisus. Its description in RNAcentral is "bacterial SSU rRNA". It matches the Rfam family "Bacterial small subunit ribosomal RNA", at positions 28 to 500 of the family's 1533-position model. The record is from RNAcentral. Lineage: Bacteria; Bacillati; Bacillota; Negativicutes; Veillonellales; Veillonellaceae.